UGGAGCGAAUACAAGCAAAUCGAGUUGGACAGAGUCCCUGUCCUACAAGGGGCUCACGGUCUUAUUCUCCAUCUUUACAGAUGAGGUAACUGAGACACAGAGAGGUUAAGUGACUUGCCCAAGGUCACACGGCAGACAAGUGGCGACAUUCUUCUAUCAUUACAAGUAGGAGCCUAACCCCAGGAGUCCUAAACUCCAGGAACACUACAAGUUCUCUCCCCGCGCCCCUCCAAAGUGACAGGGAUAACAUUUCUGCCUGGAAAACUGAUGGAAGAACCCAGCUCCUCCAGGAAGUCUUCCUUGUUAAGACCCAAGGAAGCCUCUGAUGCCCGACACUGGGACAAUGGGACUGUUCUGGAGCAGUGCCAACCACAAAUGAUGUGCCAGUCCAUCUUCCUGGCUUUGAGGGCAAAGAGGAGAGUCAUGCAUCUUGAAGAGAGGGAGAGAACACGGCCAGGAUCCAACAUGCUGGGUAUGACAAUCACUCAAUGAAUCAGUGGUAUUUAUUGAGUGCUUGCUAUGUGCAGAAGACUGUACUAAGCACUUGGGAGAGUAUAGUAUAACAGAGUUCAUUAAUUCAUUCAUUCAAUAGUAUUUACUGAGUGCUUACUAAGUGCAGAGCACUGUACUAAGCACUUGGAAUGUACAAUUCGGCAAAGAGAUACAUUCCAAAGAGACAAAGUUUGUAGCACAUUCACUGCCCACAGUGAGCUUACAGUCCAGAGGGCGAUACAGAUAUUAAUUUAGAAACAACGUGGCUUAAGAGAUAGAACACAGGCCUAGAAGUCACUAGGACCUGGGUUCUCCUCCCGCCUCUGCCUCAUGACUGUUGUGUUACCUUGGGCAAGGAACUUCACUUCUCUGUGCCUCAGUUAUCUGUAAAAUGGGGAUUAGGAGUAUGAGCCA
RNAcentral lists this long non-coding RNA (906 nucleotides) under Ornithorhynchus anatinus (platypus). RNAcentral describes it as "lncRNA (ENSOANG00000049960.1)". The record is from RNAcentral. Lineage: Eukaryota; Metazoa; Chordata; Mammalia; Monotremata; Ornithorhynchidae.